Long non-coding RNA from Oncorhynchus keta (chum salmon), 1001 nucleotides. RefSeq lists it as uncharacterized. Lineage: Eukaryota; Metazoa; Chordata; Actinopteri; Salmoniformes; Salmonidae. The record is from RefSeq and is a predicted model, not a curated record. The transcript has 4 exons.
AAGAGGCAGGUAGCCUAGUGGUUAGAGGAGGCAGGUAGUCUAGUGGUUAGAGGAGGCAGGUAGCCUAGUGGUUAGAGGAGGCAGGUAGCCUAGUGGUUAGAGGAGGCAGGUAGUCUAGUGGUUAGAGGAGGCAGGUAGCCUAGUGGUUAGAGGAGGCAGGUAGCCUAGUGGUGAGAGGAGGCAGGUAGCCUAGUGGUUAGAGGAGGCAGGUAGCCUAGUGGUUAGAGGAGGCAGGUAGCCUAGUGGUGAGAGGAGGCAGGUAGCCUAGUGGUUAGAGGAGGCAGGUAGCCUAGUGGUUAGAGGAGGCAGGUAGCCUAGUGGUUAGAGGAGGCAGGUAGCCUAGUGGUUAGAGGAGGCAGGUAGCCUAGUGGUUAGAGGAGGCAGGUAGCCUAGUGGUUAGAGGAGGCAGGUAGCCUAGUGGUUAGAGGAGGCAGGUAGCCUGGUGGUUAGAGGAGGCAGGUAGCCUAGUGGUUAGAGGAGGCAGGUAGCCUAGUGGUUAGAGGAGGCAGGUAGCCUAGUGGUUAGAGGAGGCAGGUAGCCUAGUGGUUAGAGGAGGCAGGUAGCCUAGUGGUUAGAGGAGGCAGGUAGCCUGGUGGUUAGAGGAGGCAGGUAGCCUAGUGGUUAGAGGAGGCAGGUAGCCUAGUGGUUAGAGGAGGCAGGUAGCCUAGUGGUUAGAGGAGGCAGGUAGCCUAGUGGUUAGAGGAGGCAGGUAGCCUAGUGGUUAGAGGAGGCAGGUAGCCUAGUGGUUAGAGGAGGCAGGUAGCCUAGUGGUUAGAGGAGGCAGGUAGCCUAGUGGUUAGAGGAGGCAGGUAGCCUAGUGGUUAGAGGAGGCAGGUAGCCUAGUGGUUAGAGGAGGCAGGUAGCCUAGUGGUUAGAGGAGGCAGGUAGCCUAGUGGUUAGAGGAGGCAGGUAGCCUGGUGGUUAGAGGAGGCAGGUAGCCUAGUGGUUAGAGGAGGCAGGUAGCCUAGUGGUUAGAGGAGGCAGGUAGUCUAGUGGUUAGA